AUGGACUGUCGUGUCCACUCCGGUUCCUGCGCUCCGUCCUCACCCGGCUGACGGCCGCUCGCGACGUUUUUGAGAU
Non-coding RNA from Candidatus Muproteobacteria bacterium, 76 nucleotides. The record is from Rfam. NCBI's taxonomy places the organism in Bacteria, Pseudomonadati, Pseudomonadota, Candidatus Muproteobacteria.